UUUGAAGUCUUCGGAUGGAUAGAAGAACCCCUGAUGCCGUCGAGCCAAGAAAAGUUUCUAAGUUUAGCUAAUGUUGCCCGUACCGUAAACCGACACAGGUGGGUGGGAUGAGUAUUCUAAGGCGCGUGGAAGAACUCUCUUUAAGGAACUCUGCAAAAUAGCACCGUAUCUUCGGUAUAAGGUGUGGUUAGCUUUGUAUUAGGAUUUACUCCGAAAGCAAGGAAACUUACAACAAAGAGUCCCUCCCGACUGUUUACCAAAAACACAGCACUCUGCUAACUCGUAAGAGGAUGUAUAGGGUGUGACGCCUGCCCGGUGCUCGAAGGUUAAUUGAUGGGGUUAGCAUUAGCGAAGCUCUUGAUCGAAGCCCGAGUAAACGGCGGCCGUAACUAUAACGGUCCUAAGGUAGCGAAAUUCCUUGUCGGUUAAAUACCGACCUGCAUGAAUGGCGUAACGAGAUGGGAGCUGUCUCAAAGAGGGAUCCAGUGAAAUUGUAGUGGAGGUGAAAAUUCCUCCUACCCGCGGCAAGACGGAAAGACCCCGUGGACCUUUACUACAGCUUGACACUGCUACUUGGAUAAGAAUGUGCAGGAUAGGUGGGAGGCUUUGAGUAUAUGACGCCAGUUGUAUAUGAGCCAUUGUUGAGAUACCACUCUUUCUUAUUUGGGUAGCUAACCAGCUUGAGUUAUCCUCAAGUGGGACAAUGUCUGGUGGGUAGUUUGACUGGGGCGGUCGCCUCCCAAAUAAUAACGGAGGCUUACAAAGGUUGGCUCAGAACGGUUGGAAAUCGUUCGUAGAGUAUAAAGGUAUAAGCCAGCUUAACUGCAAGACAUACAAGUCAAGCAGAGACGAAAGUCGGUCUUAGUGAUCCGGUGGUUCUGUGUGGAAGGGCCAUCGCUCAAAGGAUAAAAGGUACCCCGGGGAUAACAGGCUGAUCUCCCCCAAGAGCUCACAUCGACGGGGAGGUUUGGCACCUCGAUGUCGGCUCAUCGCAUCCUGGGGCUGGAGCAGGUCCCAAGGGUAUGGCUGUUCGCCAUUUAAAGCGGUACGCGAGCUGGGUUCAGAACGUCGUGAGACAGUUCGGUCCCUAUCUGCCGUGGGCGUAAGAAGAUUGAAGAGAUUUGACCCUAGUACGAGAGGACCGGGUUGAACAAACCACUGGUGUAGCUGUUGUUCUGCCAAGAGCAUCGCAGCGUAGCUAAGUUUGGAAAGGAUAAACGCUGAAAGCAUCUAAGCGUGAAGCCAACUCUAAGAUGAAUCUUCUCUAAGCUCUCUAGAAGACUACUAGUUUGAUAGGCUGGGUGUGUAAUGGAUGAAAGUCCUUUAGCUGACCAGUACUAAUAGAGCGUUUGGCUUAUCUUU
Molecule: ribosomal RNA, 1362 nt
Filed under: Campylobacter jejuni
Lineage: Bacteria; Pseudomonadati; Campylobacterota; Epsilonproteobacteria; Campylobacterales; Campylobacteraceae
Description: partial 23S ribosomal RNA
Rfam family: Bacterial large subunit ribosomal RNA
Source: RNAcentral